AGGACGAACGCUGGCGGCGUGCCUAACACAUGCAAGUCGAACGAGGUCCAGCCAGUGGCAACACUGAGGACGACCUAGUGGCGAACGGGUGAGUAACACGUGAGGAACUUGCCCCGGAGACCGGGAUAACCCUCCGAAAGGAGAGCUAAUACCGGAUGUCCUCACCGAGUCGCAUGGCUUGGUGAAGAAAUGGAUUCCGCGUCCGGGAGAGCCUCGCGGCCUAUCAGCUA
RNAcentral lists this ribosomal RNA (230 nucleotides) under uncultured soil bacterium. RNAcentral's name for it is "partial 16S ribosomal RNA". It matches the Rfam family "Bacterial small subunit ribosomal RNA", at positions 26 to 247 of the family's 1533-position model. The record is from RNAcentral.